RNAcentral lists this ribosomal RNA (552 nucleotides) under Triticum aestivum (bread wheat). RNAcentral's name for it is "partial small subunit ribosomal RNA". The record is from RNAcentral. Lineage: Eukaryota; Viridiplantae; Streptophyta; Magnoliopsida; Poales; Poaceae.
AUGCUUACGCGCGCUCAGUGGCAGACAAUGGUUUCCAAAGAGAACAAUUUCGACAAGGCGUCCGGUAGCGGCAGAAAGUACCGUCCCGCAAAGGACAUCGACGAUCAGUCGAAGAAGCCAAAGAAGAAAAAGUUCGACAAGAGGAAGAUCCGCUGCCACAACUGUAAUCUGCUCGGGCACUUCAAGUCGGAGUGUAAGAAUCCCCCGAAGGAGAAUGCCCUCAUGGCCCAGCAAGGAGAUGAAAGUGACAUGAUGUUGAUGUGUGAACUCGUGGACAAGGACGAUCCAGUUCUUCAAGUGUCGGCUAAAGAAAUUGUCGUGCUCUGUAAAGAAAAAGUUCACUCUCAAGAUCAUGGUUCAGAAACUCAUGUCGAUGCUACGGACGCGGGGGGUGAUUCCGAAACCUACAUCGAUGUUAAGGGCAUAAGCGCUAAUUUCACUGAAGCGGAUGAAGCAAUUACCGCGUGUGCUCGGCCAUGGAGAAGCAGUCUUUAUACGACGUGUACACAAGAUAAAUCGGCAUACAUGACGCCUGAAGUCCAUGAAGCAUAG